RNAcentral lists this ribosomal RNA (2115 nucleotides) under Clostridium perfringens. Its description in RNAcentral is "bacterial LSU rRNA". It matches the Rfam family "Bacterial large subunit ribosomal RNA", at positions 797 to 2925 of the family's 2925-position model. Lineage: Bacteria; Bacillati; Bacillota; Clostridia; Eubacteriales; Clostridiaceae. The record is from RNAcentral.
GCAUGGGAUGAGCUGUGGAUAGCGGAGAAAUUCCAAUCGAACCCGGAGAUAGCUGGUUCUCUCCGAAAUAGCUUUAGGGCUAGCGUCGAGUAUGAGUAGUGGAGGUAGAGCACUGAAUGGGCUAGGGGGCAUAGCGCUUACCGAACCUUAUCAAACUCCGAAUGCCACAUACUUUGAGCUCGGCAGUCAGACUACGAAUGAUAAGAUCCGUGGUCAAAAGGGAAACAGCCCAGAUCGUCAGCUAAGGUCCCAAAGUGUAAGUUAAGUGGGAAAGGAUGUGAGAUUUCUAAGACAACUAGGAUGUUGGCUUAGAAGCAGCCAUUCAUUAAAAGAGUGCGUAAUAGCUCACUAGUCGAGAGAUCUUGCGCCGAAAAUGUAACGGGGCUAAACUUACCACCGAAGCUACGGGCUUGAACUUAGUUCAAGCGUAGGAGAGCGUCGUAACCGGGCUGAAGUCGUACCGUAAGGAGCGGUGGACUGGUUACGAGUGAGAAUGUUGGCAUCAGUAGCGAGAUGUGGGUGAGAAUCCCACAGGCCGAAAAACCUAAGGUUUCCUCAGGAAGGUUCGUCCGCUGAGGGUUAGUCGGGACCUAAGCCGAGGCCGAAAGGCGUAGGUGAUGGACAACUGGUUGAUAUUCCAGUACCACUACCAUCGUUAUUAUCGAUGGCGUGACGCAGGAGGAUAGUGUGUGCUAGCUAUUGGAUGCUAGUCUAAGCGUUUAGGCAGUGAGAGUAGGCAAAUCCGCUCUCAUAAUGCUGAGGCGUGAUGGGGAAGGUUCCACGGAACCGAAGUACAUGAUUCCACGCUGCCAAGAAAAGCGUCUAGAGAGAGAAGUAGUGCCCGUACCGCAAACCGACACAGGUAGGUGAGGAGAGAAUCCUAAGGCCGGCGGAAGAAUUACAGUUAAGGAACUCGGCAAAUUGACCCCGUAAGUUCGCGAGAAGGGGUGCCUACGAGAGUAGGCCGCAGAGAAUAGGCCCAAGCAACUGUUUAGCAAAAACACAGGUCUCUGCUAAAGCGUAAGCUGAUGUAUAGGGGCUGACGCCUGCCCGGUGCUGGAAGGUUAAGGGGAACACUUAGCGCAAGCGAAGGUGUGAACUUAAGCCCCAGUAAACGGCGGCCGUAACUAUAACGGUCCUAAGGUAGCGAAAUUCCUUGUCAGGUAAGUUCUGACCCGCACGAAUGGCGUAAUGACUUGGGCACUGUCUCAACUGUAAAUCCGGCGAAGUUGUAGUGCGAGUGAAGAUGCUCGCUACCCGCGAUUGGACGGAAAGACCCCGUAGAGCUUUACUGUAGCUUAGCAUUGAGUUUUGGUAUUGUCUGUACAGGAUAGGUGGGAGACUAGGAAACCAGGGCGUCAGCCUUGGUGGAGUCAACCUUGGGAUACCACCCUGACAGUACUGAAAUUCUAACUGGCGGCCAUGAAUCUGGUCACAGGACAUUGUUAGGUGGGCAGUUUGACUGGGGCGGUCGCCUCCUAAAAAGUAACGGAGGCGCCCAAAGGUUCCCUCAGAACGGUCGGAAAUCGUUCGAAGAGUGCAAAGGCAGAAGGGAGCCUGACUGCGACACCCACAAGUGGAGCAGGGGACGAAAGUCGGGCUUAGUGAUCCGGUGGUACCUCGUGGGAGGGCCAUCGCUCAACGGAUAAAAGCUACCUCGGGGAUAACAGGCUGAUCUCCCCCAAGAGUCCACAUCGACGGGGAGGUUUGGCACCUCGAUGUCGGCUCGUCGCAUCCUGGGGCUGAAGUAGGUCCCAAGGGUUGGGCUGUUCGCCCAUUAAAGCGGCACGCGAGCUGGGUUCAGAACGUCGUGAGACAGUUCGGUCCCUAUCCGUCGCGGGCGUAGGAAAUUUGAGAGGAGCUGUCCUUAGUACGAGAGGACCGGGAUGGACUGACCUCUGGUGUACCAGUUGUUCCGCCAGGAGCACAGCUGGGUAGCUAAGUCGGGAAUGGAUAAACGCUGAAAGCAUCUAAGCGUGAAGCCAACCUCAAGAUGAGAUUUCCCAUAGCGUAAGCUAGUAAGAUCCCUUGAAGAACACAAGGUUGAUAGGUCGGGGGUGUAAGCAUGGUAACAUGUUCAGCUGACCGAUACUAAUAGAUCGAGGGCUUGACCAA